This 500-nucleotide ribosomal RNA is filed under the name uncultured bacterium. RNAcentral describes it as "partial 16S ribosomal RNA". It matches the Rfam family "Bacterial small subunit ribosomal RNA", at positions 30 to 523 of the family's 1533-position model. The record is from RNAcentral.
AUUGAACGCUGGCGGCAUGCCUUACACAUGCAAGUCGAACGGCAGCACGGGAGCAAUCCUGGUGGCGAGUGGCGAACGGGUGAGUAAAGUAUCGGAACGUGCCCAGUCGUGGGGGAUAACGUAGCGAAAGUUACGCUGAUACCGCAUACGAUCUAUGGAUGAAAGCGGGGGAUCGCAAGACCUCGCGCGAUUGGAGCGGCCGAUAUCAGAUUAGGUAGUUGGUGGGGUAAAGGCUCACCAAGCCGACGAUCUGUAGCUGGUCUGAGAGGACGACCGGCCAAACUGGGACUGAGACACGGCCCAGACUCCUACGGGAGGCAGCAGUGGGGAAUUUUGGACAAUGGGCGAAAGCCUGAUCCAGCCAUGCCGCGUGCAGGAUGAAGGCCUUCGGGUUGUAAACUGCUUUUGUACGGAACGAAAAGGUUUGGCCUAAUAAGCUGAGCUCAUGACGGUACCGUAAGAAUAAGCACCGGCUAACUACGUGCCAGCAGCCGCCGUAA